RNAcentral lists this long non-coding RNA (368 nucleotides) under Elaeis guineensis (African oil palm). RNAcentral describes it as "long non-coding RNA (EGUI_LNC011862)". The record is from RNAcentral. Lineage: Eukaryota; Viridiplantae; Streptophyta; Magnoliopsida; Arecales; Arecaceae.
UGCCUCGGAGACGAAUGCAGUAGCAGAGUUGUCUAUACUUGUCUUGCUUGUCAAGGAUUUUCCCAUAUCUCAAGCAAGGUCAUCCCCCCUAGUUGUGUGAACUUAAAUUGUGAAACCGACAAGGUAGGGCCCUCUUCCUGCAAUCAUGUUCUAGGUUUCACUUAAAGAUCCUCUAUUUUUCAAAAUUGACUUAAAUAAUUUUAUGAUGGCAUUGAAAGUAUCCAAAAUUUAACAGAUGAUAAUGCAAUCCAUACAGCCAACAUAUACCAGCGAGCUAAGUCAUAGUAGUAUGGUCAAUGUGAAGUCACCUGACCUGCACAAAACCUUCUUCACCAUCACAAGAUAUGAUAGCUAGAGCCCCUAUUCAU